AUCUGUUUUUGUCAAUGGGCUGGAUUUACCCUUUGCUUUAUAGGGUAAAGUACAGACGUGAUGAACCUGAGGGUAAACCUGGUGUGAGAGCGUAGCGCAGCCUCUUCCCGACUCGGACAAAUUGUGCGAACAGCACCUUUCUGCCUUUAUUUGAAUUUUAUAGAGCGAUUCCGUCACACGUUUUUGUGAAUUUGACUUCCGACUCGAUUUAGCCAUUUAUAAGUUAAAGAGUAAUUCUAAACAAAUAAUACCAUUCAUGAAAAUGUUACAGAAGAGAUCAAAGUCACAGAGGCCAGCACUUGCUAUGCCACUUUGUCAAACUUUGAUCCACCGCAUAAGUGGGUGUUAAUGGUAUCACAUGAGUUUAUUCAUUGUUUCUCAAGUACUGUCCCAACGUAUUGGGGCAGUAUAUUCUCUCUGAUCGGUAACAAGGCGCAAUUGACAGGUGAUUGGGACCUGGAGCCACUGUUCUCUCCGCGCCUCUAUACCAGCACAGCAAUCAGCAAGUAUGCGCGAGAUCUCCCACCCAACAGCUUCCCUUGCAGAAAGAAGCGUCUAUUCCAAAAGAUGAAUUCCAAAGGCCUCAACAGACUCCUGAACUGGACUGUACAGAAUACCCCUCCAGUGACAGGUCAGAGGUCAGCCCUUCCUGAUCUGCAGUCUGCACUAAUCUCAGCAUUUAGAGAACAUGAACAUGGCUGUUUUGGUGAUGGAAAAAUUAGGCCUACACUGUGUCCUGAUCUUCAUUAGCCAGAAACUUCAGAGCUGCCCCUGCAGACUGUCUUUUUUCACAGAACCACACAGAUAUUAGUCUGCACAUGCUCAUAAUGGUCAGAUAUUAGUUUGUACAUGCUCAGAAUGGUUAGAUAUUAGUUUGCACAUGCUCAGAAUGGUCAGAUAUUAGUCUGCACAUGCUCAGAAUGGUCAGAUAUUAGUCUGCACAUGCUCAUAAUGGUCAGAUAUUAGUUUGCACAUGCUCAGAAUGGUCAGAUAUUAGUUUGCAAAUGCUCAGAAUGGUCAGAUAUUAGUUUGCACACACUCAUAAUGGUCUUACUCCUGGUGGGGUCCCCCCAAUACAUACUACUGCCACUUUACCCACUGUCUGUUAUAUUGCAAAUUCCCUAAUUGCCGUUUCUACCCCACACUGCCAGCGGGGCUCUUGCUCCAAUCUUCGAGAGUGCUGUCGUCUGGUCUCCCCCCACCACUGCGGUCCAGCCCCUCUUUCGUCAUUGCCUCCACCCUGCUCACUUCCGUCGCCACCUGCUGUUCCCCACCACCCGGCCCCACCCAUCAUCUGAGCCACAUCACAUAUCAUAUCUUGUGCAUAAACUGGCUGACAUGCUGGUCACCAGUCGGCACCCUGAGCCGACCAGAGGAGGAUGGGUUUCCCCCUUGAGCCUGGUUCCUUCCAAGGCUUCUUCCCAUCUGCCACAGGGAGUUUUUCCUUGCCACUGUUGCCUUAGGCUUGCUCCUGUGGGGGGUUUAGGCCAGGGUUGUCUGUAAAGCGUAUUGUGACAACUGCUGUUAAAUAUAUUAUACAA
Molecule: long non-coding RNA, 1541 nt
Organism: Anguilla rostrata (American eel)
Lineage: Eukaryota; Metazoa; Chordata; Actinopteri; Anguilliformes; Anguillidae
Exons: 3
Source: RefSeq, a predicted model, not a curated record